GCCUUAGCGAGGCCAUGGGGGAAAAAGUCUAACUGGCGGAACUCCUGGGAACUGGGGCGAUGGGCUCUUAGUAUCGGAGGAUUGGAGCCAUCUGAUUUUUACCUGAAAUUCCUUAGUCUCUCCUGUGUUGGGGAAAUGGUCACCUUGCCUUCAGGGACCUGGGCUUUCAGCUGUCCAUACCUGGCCCUGGUUGAUGGCGGCAUGCUGGGCAGUGCACGUGAAGACGCACAUGAGACCGGGACUUGCUGUGUUGCCCAGGCUGGUCUUGAACUCCUGGUCUUAAGCAAUCAUACUGCUUUGGCCACCCAAAGCACUGGGAUUACAGGCGUGAACCACCACACCCAGCUCUUAAAACCACAGUAUUUCUAGCCCCGCAGCAGUUCCCGAGACCUUGUGCCUCCUUCCCCGACGCCGCCUGCUCACCGGUGCCCUCGGGCAGGCUCAGGAUGUCCUCGCCCUGCACCCAGCGGUAGCACGGGAAGGCCACCUCCGCGCAGGCUCCAGGGCCCUGCACCGUGAUGCGGUCGCAGAACCACGCGUCGUCCACCAGCCAGUGGUGCUUGCGCAGCCUCACGAACUGCAGGAGCCCCAAGUCCUCUGCAACGUCAUGAUCAAACUCCUCCUCCUGUGCAGGCCGGACCCAGGCCAGACUUAGUAGGAGGGACCCGACUGAGGCCGUUUCGAGGACAGAGCCGCGCUCCUGUGCAACCUCAGUUUCUCAGGGCCUCCAAAGACAGCAUCGCCUCGUUCCCGCCCCCGCACAACCUGCUCUUUGGGUCUCAGACGCCCGGAGUCGGGUGGAGGACGAGGGCCCGCAGCGCCUGGAGCUGAUGCUGGAGCAGCAUCGCCCACGUGGGUCCCAUUAACUGAGCUCUCCCCGCGCCGGUUCUUGGAGGAGCUUCACGUCUGACCUCUGGCCUCAUACUUACAUUGGCUCUGGGUCACUGGGAGAAGGAGCUGGGGGCUGCCGGGACCAGGGGCGGGAAAGGGAGAUGGGGUUGAGCCCAGCCCGGGAUCCCAGCUGCGGACCCUGUCCCUAAUCUUGCCCACCUCGUCCCAGCUUCGUGGAAGUCCCAGUCCGCGAGGUCGCGCUGUCACCUCGCCCCCAGCCUCCCGCCCUCCCGCCGCGAGCCCAGCUCGGCCCGGGCCUGGGCCCGGGGUCCCCGCUGCCCUAGCUCCCCUCGCUCCCCGCGCUGACCU
Molecule: long non-coding RNA, 1200 nt
Filed under: Homo sapiens (human)
Lineage: Eukaryota; Metazoa; Chordata; Mammalia; Primates; Hominidae
Description: HSALNT0388276
Source: RNAcentral